UACGAAGGGGGCUAGCGUUGUUCGGAAUCACUGGGCGCAAAGCGCACGUAGGCGGCCACUCAAGUCAGAGGUGAAAGCCCAGGGCUCAACCUUGGAAUUGCCUUUGAAACUAGGUGGCUUGAACAUAGGAGAGGCGAGUGGAAUUCCGAGUGUAGAGGUGAAAUUCGUAGAUAUUCGGAAGAACACCAGUGGCGAAGGCGGCGAUCUGGGCUGAUACUGACGCUGAGGUGCGAAAGCGUGGGGAGCAAACAGG
RNAcentral lists this ribosomal RNA (253 nucleotides) under uncultured bacterium. Its description in RNAcentral is "partial 16S ribosomal RNA". It matches the Rfam family "Bacterial small subunit ribosomal RNA", at positions 524 to 776 of the family's 1533-position model. The record is from RNAcentral.